This 1289-nucleotide long non-coding RNA is filed under the name Equus asinus (donkey). RNAcentral describes it as "lncRNA (ENSEASG00005023834.1)". Lineage: Eukaryota; Metazoa; Chordata; Mammalia; Perissodactyla; Equidae. The record is from RNAcentral.
GAAAAACCUAUUUUGUGACCUCAAAAUAAAUGAUCUGGAGAGUCAAAAUUGAGGAGAGAGAGUUACACGUGCUGUGCAUUCUGUCUUCCUUCGAUGAGAAUGAGGAGGACAGCGCUGCCCUCCCGCCGUAAGCCACAUUCUUUAGGUUGCAAGAGAGCUUGGCGCGUGUCCCCUAGAGUUGAAGGAGCACAGGGAUUUGUAUAUGACUCACUUUUGAAAAAUUCUACGGGCGGAUGGCUGAGUGAUGCAGCCUGAGGUGGCUGAGUAGAAAGGUGGACACUGAGAACAGAUUGUAGUUCACUGAUGAGGAGCACAGACGCUUCCUGGAGGACCAGCUGGGGGGAUUCAGCUUGAAGUCAUCUUGGAAUCUCCCACAGAGAACUUUUCUGGAAGGCCAAGCAGGAUGGAGUCCUGGAAAAUGGAGAAGCCACAACCUGGAAGAAGUGGGGCUUUGAGUGACUGUGUGGAGUGGAGUCCUGCCUCCCCACUCUGCUCAAACACUGACCCAGGUUUCCUGUGACAUCGGCAGGAUGGAAGUGUGCAUGCUUGAGUAGAAAGGAAGAGGCACCAAGAGGAGCUAAAGAUGCUGGAGAGGAAGAGCAUAGGUGUGAACCCACAGACGUAAGAAAAAUGAACAUCUUUUAGAUGGUGGACUGAGACCCCAAUUGCCACACACCUACUUUGGAGAAGAAGCAGAAUGAGAGCCUGGAUACCCCGAAUCCAUGUCUACGUCUCUGUCCACUAUACCACACGGCACCAUUUUAAAACAAACCUAGAAGCCACUGGUGGCUCCAGAAAGACAUUUAUCCCUUAUACUUCAAACCUAGAGAAUGUUGACUGGCAUGGUUCCUUUGGAGCAAAUCCAAUUCUGGAAGAGGAGAGGAGGCUAAGUUAUUUUUUCCCAGCCUUCAUGAGAUCACUGGAAAUGCUCUCAGAAGAUGUGUUAGACUCUAAGAGCUGGAUUUUUCCAUUCAGUUCCCCUUUGUUUUGCUUGGCCUUACAAGGAAGAAAAAUGCUUAACUGAGUGAUCAAGCCAAUGAAACCUGAAUCAGCUGUUUGUUUUAUGUUUUCCUCAUUAAGUAUUUCCAUUUUGUGUUUAAAAUUCAGAAGCUUAUCUUAAAGAGCAAAGGUUACAUUCAAGAUUAAUGUCAAAGAAUCCCUAAGAAAACUGCCUGAGAAACCAGGAUCCUGGUCUUUAGAGGAACUGUUCUUUCUGAGAAGCCUGAUGACUCAUGUUGGUUGUAGAAACUUGUAAUCUGCCAUGAAAAUUAAAGCAUUUACAAUUCAAA